GAGGGUAUAGCUCAGUGGUAGAGCACACGCUCAGGAUGCACGAGGUCCUGGGUUCAAUAGCCAGUACCUCCA
RNAcentral lists this transfer RNA (72 nucleotides) under Camelus bactrianus (Bactrian camel). It matches the Rfam family "tRNA". Rfam says of the family: Transfer RNA (tRNA) molecules are approximately 80 nucleotides in length. Their secondary structure includes four short double-helical elements and three loops (D, anti-codon, and T loops). Further hydrogen bonds mediate the characteristic L-shaped molecular structure. tRNAs have two regions of fundamental functional importance: the anti-codon, which is responsible for specific mRNA codon recognition, and the 3' end, to which the tRNAs corresponding amino acid is attached (by aminoacyl-tRNA synthetases). tRNAs cope with the degeneracy of the genetic code in two manners: having more than one tRNA (with a specific anti-codon) for a particular amino acid; and 'wobble' base-pairing, i.e. permitting non-standard base-pairing at the 3rd anti-codon position. The record is from Rfam by way of RNAcentral. Lineage: Eukaryota; Metazoa; Chordata; Mammalia; Artiodactyla; Camelidae. RNAcentral also lists the same sequence under 1 other name.